Molecule: long non-coding RNA, 2475 nt
Organism: Oxyura jamaicensis (ruddy duck)
Lineage: Eukaryota; Metazoa; Chordata; Aves; Anseriformes; Anatidae
Exons: 3
Source: RefSeq, a predicted model, not a curated record
UAGCGGGCAGGUGUUACCAUUACAUCCUGUUUUGUAAACCCUGUUGUCUGGCCAGAAUGAAUAACAAGCCUCUCAAGCAAAACUUUUCAGAGAAGGAAUGUUUGUCACGCUGAGUCAGUUGAGCAUAGUGUUAUCUUUGCAAGAAUAAUGCUCACAGUGAAGCCUGCACCGUGAGCGCUGUUCCGUGUGAAGCACCACCACUCAGACCCGCAUCGCGGCUGCUCGAGGAGCUUUGACCUAAUGAGGCACUGUGCAACUCAUAACCGUGCGAAGCCGUGUGAAGCUCUAGGUUCAGUUGCUUUAAAAUAGGCUGUUCGGCGCUGGAGAGCUUCAGGAGUACACAGCAACUGAUGAGCAUGGAGCAUCUGUGGCAAAGGAAAAAAACACCAUCUUCAAAUUUUGAGGAGCAAACAUGACCCUUUCUGUUUCUGCUGCUUCCCACCCACAUUGAGUUAGCGUGAGAGAAGGAGAAAAUCGAGAAAAGCAGAGAUUUUCUUUGCAUGGGAGGACUGAAGAAUGUAUUGUUUUCUCAAUCACGAGCAAGCACUUUCAUCACCACUUUUGCUCUACAUUCUAAGUGACGGAGAGGUUUUUAUAUUUUACUUGUAUAACUUAGAAGAGGUCAUAUUUGUAAAAAGUCCCUCUGCUGAAGUGAGUCUUCUCUUUGGCUGUAUGCAAAUGCUACAGCACACAUGCAGUUUGUAAUUUGCCGAUAGGUGUAAGCAUAUGCAAAAUGGAGAUUAAAUGUGUAUAUGCAAGUUUGCAAAAUUAAUCAACCACGAAUGUGCAGAACUACAAAUGCUUUCUGAAAUUUGGCUCCAGAAAGAUUUAUGAAUUAGCCUCCUAUAGAAGCUUUCACUCAUGGAUGCCAAAUACAUUCCAUUUUUAUUAUCAAUUAAUAAUUUAUAAGGUUUACAUGGUAACAUUCACCCAGAAUAGCAUUUUAAAAAUAUAUCCCAAUCUUGUAAGGACCUGCUGGUACUUAUGCCUAUUCACAAUUGCUUUAGCGGUGCUUUUUAUGAGUAUAAGAUGCUGCCAGCCUGGAGCCCUUCCAGGAUUAGAUCUUAAUCCCCAAAGAUAUGUAAGUGCUACCACCUCCUUUUUUUCAGAUUGAAAACUGGGAGGCGCAUGGGUAAAUGCAUGCAAGUUUACACAUAGUCAAUAAUGGAUGAAACAAUCAAAAUAGGCUCCAAACUUGUGAAAUAUAUUUAAGAACAGUUAAUUUCCCUUCUUGUAGUCCCCCUCAUGUCAGUAGUUGAUCUGAAUGUUAGCAGCAGAAAAAUCAAAGCCUGACUGCAAGUCUUGUAUUUCAGUGUAAAGCCAGAGGAGCUAGCAGUGUACAUACCAAAACCACAUUUGAUUCUUUCUGUUAUCAUGAGUUGAAGCAAAAGGCAUUCAGAUGAUUCUCACAAUGUAAGAGGCAAAAAAAAAAACACCACCACCAGCAAAAAAAAACAGUGUUUCACUUCAACGUACCUUUUACUAGAGCUGGGUGCAAUAGGAUGUGAUUAUUUUCAGAACAUUAAAAAUAUCUGCUAUCUUCCUCCCAUGCUAGGUAGAAUAGUAGUCUGAUGUGUUUUUGCUUUGUAAUUUUUUUUAAUGAAAAAUUCUGAUUUAACCAAACCUCUUCAGAAGGAAGCUGGCUGAUAUUAUCUUACUUCCCUCUUUUCUUAUUGUGGAAUUGUUGAGAGAAUGCCAGUUGUUGCUACUUGUCAUCACAACUUUCUAGUCCAUAAUAUUGGUUGUUAAAGACAAUAAAUAUUAAUCAGAAGACUGCUUAAAAACUGACCAGCAUGCAGAAUCCAAAUGCGUAGGUAAUCACACAAUGACAAUAUAAAUCUAGUCGUUCAUUCAUUACUUAAUUGCAAACACACACAUACGCAAAUUGUGCCUUCUGAAAAACAGUUCUAUUUUAUUUGACCUCUCAAUAUUUAUUCAGCAAAAGUUUUAAAGGUUUUUUUAUUUCUCAGAUGCUCUACUAUAAGUGAAUGAACACCUCUGUUGUUCAGGCGAUUGUAGCAAAAGUCAUGGACACAUGGUAUUGUCAAAAGUAGGAAAGCUGGGGACUGCGGUAUGAAACGAAAUGUCAAGGCUGAUGAUUGCUAAGAUAUUUCUGACUCCGCACAGAAGGCCUUUUUUUGUCCCCACAUGCGUGGUGUUAAAAGACUGCAAGGUGCUGUGCUUGCCUUUGAGCUGGGUUAAUGGAUCCUGAGGACAGUCCUCCCAGCAACAGCCCGUAUUGAGGGAUCUGCACAGGUUUCACAGCUGCACGGUGCUGAGUUGCUCUGCUAGGCAUGAGCUAAUGUACAGUUGAUUUCUCUCUGGGGGGCACUUUGAUUCGGGGUUUCAGAGGGGACUCUCUCAGUAUUCCUAAUGAUGUUUUUGGCUACAAAGCCUGGCAACGUUACAGUGUUGUUGUGGACUCUGUACAACUGACACCAAAGAAAUGUAGCCUCAAGAACUGCAGCAAAAGGC